UGACAUAAACCAUAAGAAACCUGCCU
Molecule: non-coding RNA, 26 nt
Filed under: Mus musculus (house mouse)
Lineage: Eukaryota; Metazoa; Chordata; Mammalia; Rodentia; Muridae
Source: RNAcentral